UACGUAGGCAGCGAGCGUUGUUCGGAAUUACUGGGCGUAAAGCGCACGUAGGCGGCUUUGUAAGUUAGAGGUGAAAGCCCGGGGCUCAACUCCGGAAUUGCCUUUAAGACUGCAUCGCUAGAAUUGUGGGAGAGGUAAGUGGAAUUCCGAGUGUAGAGGUGAAAUUCGUAGAUAUUCGGAAGAACACCAGUGGCGAAGGCGGCUCACUGGCCCGGUACUGACACUGAGAUGCGAAAGCGUGGGGAGCAAACAGG
Molecule: ribosomal RNA, 254 nt
Filed under: uncultured bacterium
Lineage: Bacteria
Description: partial 16S ribosomal RNA
Rfam family: Bacterial small subunit ribosomal RNA
Source: RNAcentral